UGGGGAGUACGGUCGCAAGGCUGAAACUUAAAGGAAUUGGCGGGGGAGCACAGCAACGAGAGGAGCGUGCGGUUUAAUUGGAUUCAACGCCGGAAAACUCACCAGUGCCGACGGACAUAUGAAGAUCAGCGUGAUGAGCUUAUUGGAUUGUUCGAGAGGUAGUGCAUGGCCGUCGUCAGUUCGUACCGUAAGGCGUUCUGUUAAGUCAGAUAACGAACGAGACCCCUAUCGUCUAUUUGCUAAACGGAUCUCCGGAUUCGUCGCACUAUAGCGAGACCGCUGGCGUGAAGUCAGAGGAAGGUGGGGGCAACGACAGGUCAGUAUGCUCCGAAUGCACUGGGCUACACGCGCGCUACAAAGGCCAGGACAAUGGGUCUGCCACUUCGAAAGAAGGCGCUAUCCCGAAACCUGGUCGUAGUUCGGAUCGUGGGCUGUAAUUCGCCCUCGUGAAGCUGGAUUUCGUAGUAAUCGCGUCUCAAAAUGGCGCGGUGAAUAUGCCCCUGCUCCUUGCACACACCGCCCGUCAAACCAUC
Molecule: ribosomal RNA, 533 nt
Filed under: marine metagenome
Description: bacterial SSU rRNA
Rfam family: Archaeal small subunit ribosomal RNA
Source: RNAcentral